This 826-nucleotide ribosomal RNA is filed under the name Vittaforma corneae. RNAcentral's name for it is "SSU rRNA". It matches the Rfam family "Microsporidia small subunit ribosomal RNA", at positions 295 to 1164 of the family's 1311-position model. The record is from RNAcentral. Lineage: Eukaryota; Fungi; Microsporidia; Nosematidae.
GAAAAUUGCCCACUCUUUGCAGGAGGCAGUUAUGAGACGUGAAGAUGAGUAUCUUGUAAAGAGGGAUAGGAGAAUUGGAGGGCAAGUUUGGUGCCAGCAGCCGCGGUAAUACCGACUCCAAGAGUGUGUAUGAGAGAUGCUGCAGUUAAAAAGUCCGUAGUCAUAGAAGGGCAAAGAGAGAUGCGAGGUCUCACAGUGCGAUGAUGGAGGAGCCGAUGGGGAACAUAGUAUACCAGGGCGAGAGAUGAAAUGCCAAGACCCCUGGUGGACUGAGCGAGGCGAAGGCGAUGUUCUUGUAGGCAUUCGGUGAUCAAGGACGAAGGCUGGAGUAUCGAAAGUGAUUAGAUACCGCAGUAGUUCCAGCAGUAAAAGAUGCCGACAUGCUCAUUGGACACAGUGGGCAGGGAGAAAUCUUAGAGUUCGGGCUCUGGGGAUAGUAUGCUCGCAAGGGUGAAAAUUAAAGAAAUUGACGGAGCUACACCACAAGGAGUGGAUUGUGCGGCUUAAUUUGACUCAACGCGAGGAAACUUACCAGGGCCAAGUAUUGUGUAGAAACGAGCAAUACAGGAGUGGUGCAUGGUCGUUGGAAAUUGAUGGGAUGACUUUGACCUUAAAUGGUUGAAUGAGUGAGAUCUUUUGGACAUGUUCCGCACGGAACAGGAAGGAAAAGGCUAUAACAGAUCCGAGAUGCCCUCAGAUGCCCUGGGCUGCACGCGCAAUACAAUAGCAGGUAGAGAGAGAGACAGGAAGGUGCUCAGAUGGACUAUGUGCUGUAAGGCACAUACGAAAGAGGAAUUCCUAGUAAGUGUGUAUCAACAAUGGAUAU